RNAcentral lists this ribosomal RNA (525 nucleotides) under uncultured bacterium. RNAcentral describes it as "bacterial SSU rRNA". It matches the Rfam family "Bacterial small subunit ribosomal RNA", at positions 8 to 526 of the family's 1533-position model. The record is from RNAcentral.
AGGGUUCGAUCAUGGCUCAGAUUGAACGCUAGCGGCAGGCCUAACGCAUGCAAGUCGAGGGGUAACAUAAAAAAGCUUGCUUUUUUGAUGACGACCGGCGCACGGGUGCGUAACGCGUAUACAAUCUGCCUUAUACUGGGGUAUAGCCUUUAGAAAUGAAGAUUAAUCCCCCAUAGUCUCUUUAAAUGGCAUCAUUUUAAGAGUAAAGGUUACGGUAUAAGAUGAGUAUGCGUUCUAUUAGUUUGUUGGUGAGGUAAUGGCUCACCAAGACUACGAUAGAUAGGGGCCCUGAGAGGGGGAUCCCCCACACUGGUACUGAGACACGGACCAGACUCCUACGGGAGGCAGCAGUGAGGAAUAUUGGACAAUGGAGGAAACUCUGAUCCAGCCAUGCCGCGUGCAGGAAGACUGCCCUAUGGGUUGUAAACUGCUUUUAUACAGGAAGAAACCGCUCUACGUGUAGAGCUCUGACGGUACUGUAAGAAUAAGGAUCGGCUAACUCCGUGCCAGCCGCCGCGGUAAUUC